GAGCGGCGGACGGGUGAGUAACGCGUGGGUAACCUGCCCUGUACACACGGAUAACAUACCGAAAGGUAUGCUAAUACGGGAUAACAUAUAAGAGUCGCAUGACUUUUAUAUCAAAGAUUUUUCGGUACAGGAUGGACCCGCGUCUGAUUAGCUUGUUGGCGGGGUAACGGCCCACCAAGGCGACGAUCAGUAGCCGACCUGAGAGGGUGAUCGGCCACAUUGGAACUGAGACACGGUCCAAACUCCUACGGGAGGCAGCAGUGAGGAAUAUUGGUCAAUGGACGAGAGUCUGAACCAGCCAAGUAGCGUGAAGGAUGAAGGUUCUAUGGAUUGUAAACUUCUUUUAUACGGGAAUAAACGGAUCCACGUGUGGAUUUUUGCAUGUACCGUAUGAAUAAGGAUCGGCUAACUCCGUGCCAGCAGCCGCGGUAAUACGGAGGAUCCGAGCGUUAUCCGGAUUUAUUGGGUUUAAAGGGAGCGUAGAUGGGUUGUUAAGUCAGUUGUGAAAGUUUGCGGCUCAACCGUAAAAUUGCAAUUGAUACUGGCAGUCUUGAGUACAGUUGAGGUAGGCGGAAUUCGUGGUGUAGCGGUGAAAUGCUUAGAUAUCACGAAGAACUCCGAUUGCGAAGGCAGCUUACUAACCUGUAACUGACAUUGAUGCUCGAAAGUGUGGGUAUCAAACAGGAUUAGAUACCCUGGUAGUCCACACGGUAAACGAUGAAUACUCGCUGUAGGCGAUAUACAGUCUGCGGCCAAGCGAAAGCAUUAAGUAUUCCACCUGGGGAGUACGCCGGCAACGGUGAAACUCAAAGGAAUUGACGGGGGCCCGCACAAGCGGAGGAACAUGUGGUUUAAUUCGAUGAUACGCGAGGAACCUUACCCGGGCUUAAAUUGCAACCGAAUAUGGCGGAAACGCUAUAGCUAGCAAUAGCGGUUGUGAAGGUGCUGCAUGGUUGUCGUCAGCUCGUGCCGUGAGGUGUCGGCUUAAGUGCCAUAACGAGCGCAACCCUUGCCGAUAGUUACUAACAGGUUAUGCUGAGGACUCUGUCGGGACUGCCAUCGUAAGAUGUGAGGAAGGUGGGGAUGACGUCAAAUCAGCACGGCCCUUACGUCCGGGGCUACACACGUGUUACAAUGGGGGGUACAGAGGGCUGCUACCACGCAAGUGGAUGCCAAUCCCAAAAACCUCUCUCAGUUCGGAUUGAAGUCUGCAACCCGACUUCAUGAAGCUGGAUUCGCUAGUAAUCGCGCAUCAGCCACGGCGCGGUGAAUACGUUCCCGGGCCUUGCACACACCGCCCGUCAAG
Molecule: ribosomal RNA, 1306 nt
Filed under: uncultured bacterium
Lineage: Bacteria
Description: bacterial SSU rRNA
Rfam family: Bacterial small subunit ribosomal RNA
Source: RNAcentral